ACGGGAGGCAGCAGUGGGGAAUAUUGCGCAGUGGGGGGAACCCUGACGCAGCAACGCCGCGUGAGUGAGGAAGUAUUUCGGUAUGUAAAGCUCUAUCAACGGGGACGAUAAUGACGGUACCCGAGUAAGAAGUCCCGGCUAACUACGUGCCAGCAGCCGCGGUAAUACGUAGGGGACAAGCGUUAUCCGGAUUUACUGGGUGUAAAGGGUGCGUAGGCAGCAAAGCAAGUCAGAAGUGAAAGCCCGCGGCUCAACUGCGGGACUGCUUUUGAAACUGUUUAGCUAGAGUACUGGAGGGGCAAGCGGAAUUCCUGGUGUAGCGGUGAAAUGCGUAGAUAUCAGGAAGAACACCGGAGGCGAAGGCGGCUUGCUGGACAGAGACUGACGCUGAGGCACGAAGGCGUGGGGAGCAAACAGGAUUAGAUACCCUGGUA
RNAcentral lists this ribosomal RNA (434 nucleotides) under uncultured Lachnospiraceae bacterium. RNAcentral describes it as "bacterial SSU rRNA". It matches the Rfam family "Bacterial small subunit ribosomal RNA", at positions 341 to 792 of the family's 1533-position model. Lineage: Bacteria; Bacillati; Bacillota; Clostridia; Lachnospirales; Lachnospiraceae. The record is from RNAcentral.